AAGUCGUAACAAGGUUUCCGUAGGUGAACCUGCGGAAGGAUCAUUCACAUAACGAGCACUGUUUGGAAAACAGUAACUCACCUUAUCACUUGUGAACAAUUUUGAUUUGGAAUCUGGAUUUAAGUUGGUGAAUGAUAUUAGAAUGAAAACUUUCAACAACGGAUCUCUAGGCUCUC
Molecule: unclassified non-coding RNA, 176 nt
Filed under: fungal sp.
Lineage: Eukaryota; Fungi
Description: partial internal transcribed spacer region
Rfam family: Eukaryotic small subunit ribosomal RNA (bases 1-46)
Source: RNAcentral